AACGAACGCUGGCGGCAUGCCUAACACAUGCAAGUCGAACGAAACCUUCGGGUCUAGUGGCGCACGGGUGCGUAACGCGUGGGAACCUGCCCUUAGGUUCGGAAUAACUCCCCGAAAGGGGUGCUAAUACCGGAUAAUGUCUUCGGACCAAAGAUUUAUCGCCUUUGGAUGGGCCCGCGUUGGAUUAGCUAGUUGGUAGGGUAAAAGCCUACCAAGGCGACGAUCCAUAGCUGGUCUGAGAGGAUGAUCAGCCACACUGGGACUGAGACACGGCCCAGACUCCUACGGGAGGCAGCAGUGGGGAAUAUUGGAAAAUGGGCGAAAGCCUGAUCCAGCAAUGCCGGGUGAGUGAUGAAGGCCUUAGGGUUGUAAAGCUCUUUUACCCGGGAUGAUAAUGACAGUACCGGGAGAAUAAGCUCCGGCUAACUCCGUG
Molecule: ribosomal RNA, 433 nt
Filed under: uncultured bacterium
Lineage: Bacteria
Description: partial 16S ribosomal RNA
Rfam family: Bacterial small subunit ribosomal RNA
Source: RNAcentral